RNAcentral lists this ribosomal RNA (652 nucleotides) under uncultured Ralstonia sp. Its description in RNAcentral is "bacterial SSU rRNA". It matches the Rfam family "Bacterial small subunit ribosomal RNA", at positions 74 to 719 of the family's 1533-position model. The record is from RNAcentral. Lineage: Bacteria; Pseudomonadati; Pseudomonadota; Betaproteobacteria; Burkholderiales; Burkholderiaceae.
UCUAGCUUGCUAGAUUGAUGGCGAGUGGCGAACGGGUGAGUAAUACAUCGGAACGUGCCCUGUAGUGGGGGAUAACUAGUCGAAAGAUUAGCUAAUACCGCAUACGACCUGAGGGUGAAAGUGGGGGACCGCAAGGCCUCAUGCUAUAGGAGCGGCCGAUGUCUGAUUAGCUAGUUGGUGAGGUAAAGGCUCACCAAGGCGACGAUCAGUAGCUGGUCUGAGAGGACGAUCAGCCACACUGGGACUGAGACACGGCCCAGACUCCUACGGGAGGCAGCAGUGGGGAAUUUUGGACAAUGGGCGAAAGCCUGAUCCAGCAAUGCCGCGUGUGUGAAGAAGGCCUUCGGGUUGUAAAGCACUUUUGUCCGGAAAGAAAUGGCUCUGGUUAAUACCUGGGGUCGAUGACGGUACCGGAAGAAUAAGGACCGGCUAACUACGUGCCAGCAGCCGCGGUAAUACGUAGGGUCCAAGCGUUAAUCGGAAUUACUGGGCGUAAAGCGUGCGCAGGCGGUUGUGCAAGACCGAUGUGAAAUCCCCGAGCUUAACUUGGGAAUUGCAUUGGUGACUGCACGGCUAGAGUGUGUCAGAGGGGGGUAGAAUUCCACGUGUAGCAGUGAAAUGCGUAGAGAUGUGGAGGAAUACCGAUGGCGAA